AGGGAUUUAGGAUAAUAUAUAAAACCAAGAACCUUCAAAGCUCUAAAUAGAAGUUAAAAUCUUCUAAUCCCUG
RNAcentral lists this transfer RNA (73 nucleotides) under Osteochilus schlegelii (giant sharkminnow). RNAcentral's name for it is "tRNA-Trp". It matches the Rfam family "tRNA". Rfam says of the family: Transfer RNA (tRNA) molecules are approximately 80 nucleotides in length. Lineage: Eukaryota; Metazoa; Chordata; Actinopteri; Cypriniformes; Cyprinidae. The record is from RNAcentral.